Pelobates cultripes (western spadefoot toad) is the source of this 1209-nucleotide non-coding RNA. NCBI's taxonomy places the organism in Eukaryota, Metazoa, Chordata, Amphibia, Anura, Pelobatidae. The record is from the annotation of a GenBank genome assembly.
CCACAAUUUCACCAUCUGAGAUUGGAAUUUCUAACUUUAUCAUGCUCAAAACUCUGAUCUACAGAGUGUGGCAGAGUGCCAGUAAAAUCGAGAGAACUCAGUAGUAUCUUAAUGGAAAUUGGCAAUUGCCUGUAUUCCGACAAGGUUCAAUCCAGGGGAAAGCAAGUGUCUGCCAGGAGUUUCAAGCCUGGAGUUUUCAACCUGGAGUUUUUGCUAACUAACUUUUUAAAUAACAAGUAGACUCCCCAACAUGCUGUUUGGCAUUAUUAUACAAAUACUGUAACUCUGUUAGCUUAUGGUAAUACCGUAUUGCCUUAUACUUCCUGUUUACUUCUGACCUGAAUGUAGUUCUAUAGCCUAACAUGGUUCCUCACAAUAAAAGCUGGUAGUGUUGCCAUUGCUAUAACUGAAACACAACUCCUACAGAACAUUGGAUUGGGUAUCUAUUGAAAAUGAAUAGAUGGGUUACCAACACAUACAUUAUAUUUUUCUGGUGUUCCAUAAGUCUUAAAUGUAGCAGUUUAGAAAAGAAUGAGUAUUAUGUAUCUGAUAAACUAAGUUGAAUAUAUUUAGACUAGGUAUAGUACUAUGUUCUAAAAAAAAAAAACAUCAUGAAAUUGGGCAUAUACUCUGAAUACCUUUUCCUUUUUGUUGGAAUUAAUUUUAACUGUUUUCAUGGAACAAUGCUUUGAUUACCUACAAUGCCUUAUUGAAUAAAUAUAAGGACCCAAAGGUUAAAUGGUGUGAAAUGGGCAGUAGUGAAAAUGUUUAGCAGUGUCACAAGUCCAUAAUAUCCCUGUGUCAGUAGGAACCAGUGAAUGGAUAACUUCUCAUUUAAAAAUUAAAAGUGAUCAUGGGACACAGCAUGUUAUAUAUCCAGUAUGUCCUGAUAGGAUUAAGAGUCAGAUCAUAUGUUAUAUCUCAUAAUGGUCUUUGGGUAAGUUCUCGUCCUAUUAUUUGAAGGGGAUUAAAACACUUUGGUAUUGAUCACACCCUGAAAAGUGCAUUGGAACAUUACAAUCUGAAUUUGUGCUUUAAAGCGUCUUCCAACUUCUGGGGUCUUUGCAUAUGCUACAAAGGCGCCAACAAUGACAUCACUGCAUGGUGUGUCACAGCCCAGGGGUGCAGCGAAGGUUUGUUCUAUUUACCCUACAAUGUCCCCCGUAACUGCUUCCACCUUUUUCAGUUCCUGGCAUUUGAUCUGCCAAG